GCUUCUGAAGCUGUGCGCUUGGUCAAAGAGGACAACCAUCCCUGAUAGAGAAGAACCGGUGUUCAGUCAAGGGUAUACGAGUAAAUGUGCUCCCCUGCUAGAACCUCCAAACAAGCUCUCAAGGUCCAAAGUGUGAGAGGGUGGCCGGGCGUGGU
This 155-nucleotide small RNA is filed under the name Pongo abelii (Sumatran orangutan). It matches the Rfam family "7SK RNA", at positions 118 to 268 of the family's 331-position model. Rfam says of the family: 7SK was discovered as an abundant small nuclear RNA in the mid-70s but a possible function has only recently been suggested. Lineage: Eukaryota; Metazoa; Chordata; Mammalia; Primates; Hominidae. The record is from RNAcentral.